RNAcentral lists this ribosomal RNA (789 nucleotides) under Triticum aestivum (bread wheat). RNAcentral's name for it is "partial small subunit ribosomal RNA". Lineage: Eukaryota; Viridiplantae; Streptophyta; Magnoliopsida; Poales; Poaceae. The record is from RNAcentral.
AUGGCGCGCCACGGCGGCGCCGCCCUGCUCCUGCUGCCGCUCCUCCUCGCCCUCGCCGGCUCCGUCGCGGGAGAUGCGCUGCCGCCGCGCCCACUCGUCAUCCAGCUGCCCACGGAGGAGAAGCGGGCCGAGGAGGCUGCUGAAGCGGAGCUGCGGUGCGCGAGCUGGAGGCUGGCGGGGGAGGCCAACAACCUGGCGCCGUGGGCGGCCGUGCCGGAGGGCUGCGUGCCGCACGUGUGCGCAUAUCUCACCGGCCCCGCCUACCGCUCCGACCUCGACCUCGUCGCGCGCGAGGCCUCCGCAUACGCCCGCUCCGCACGCGCCGCCGACGCCGCCUGGGUCUUCGACAUCGACGAGACGCUGCUCUCCAACCUCCCCUACUACGCGCAGCACGGAUACGGGCUGGAGCUGUUCGACCACCGCGAGUUCGACCGGUGGGUGGAGACGGGGGAGGCGCCGGCGAUCCCCUCCAGCCUCCGCCUCUACAGGGAGGUGCGCGACCUGGGGUUCAAGACCUUCCUCCUCACCGGCCGCACCGAGGCCCACCAGGCCGUCACCGUCGACAACCUCAGGAGACAGGGCUUCCACGACUGGGACAAGCUCAUACUCAGGGCAGCAGCUGACCGGGAGAAAACGGCGACGGCCUACAAGUCGGAGAAGAGGAAGGAGAUGGAGGCGGAGGGGUACAAGAUCCUGGGCAACUCCGGCGACCAGUGGAGCGACCUGCUGGGCUACUCCAUGAGCGCCCGCUCCUUCAAGCUCCCCAACCCGAUGUACUACGUCCCCUGA